RNAcentral lists this ribosomal RNA (468 nucleotides) under uncultured bacterium. Its description in RNAcentral is "partial 16S ribosomal RNA". It matches the Rfam family "Bacterial small subunit ribosomal RNA", at positions 28 to 507 of the family's 1533-position model. The record is from RNAcentral.
GACGAACGAGGGAGGAGGAAGGAACACAUGCAAGUCGAACGGAAAGGCCCUGCUUUUGUGGGGUGCUCGAGUGGCGAACGGGUGAGUAACACGUGAGUAACCUGCCCUUGACUUUGGGAUAACUUCAGGAAACUGGGGCUAAUACCGGAUAGGAGCUCCUGCUGCAUGGUGGGGGUUGGAAAGUUUCGGCGGUUGGGGAUGGACUCGCGGCUUAUCAGCUUGUUGGUGGGGUAGUGGCUUACCAAGGCUUUGACGGGUAGCCGGCCUGAGAGGGUGACCGGCCACAUUGGGACUGAGAUACGGCCCAGACUCCUACGGGAGGCAGCAGUGGGCAAUAUUGCACAAUGGGCGGAAGCCUGAUGCAGCAACGCCGCGUGCGGGAUGACGGCCUUCGGGUUGUAAACCGCUUUCGCCUGUGACGAAGCGUGAGUGACGGUAAUGGGUAAAGAAGCACCGGCUAACUACGUG